GUACUCACUUUGAUAGCCCAUAUACUAAAAUUGGAAUAAUACACAGAAGAUUACCACAGCUCUGAUUCAAAGAAAGACCCACAAAUUCAUGAAGUGUUCCAUAAUGUU
Molecule: small nuclear RNA, 108 nt
Organism: Cynocephalus volans (Philippine flying lemur)
Lineage: Eukaryota; Metazoa; Chordata; Mammalia; Dermoptera; Cynocephalidae
Source: RefSeq, a predicted model, not a curated record